This 421-nucleotide ribosomal RNA is filed under the name uncultured archaeon. Its description in RNAcentral is "partial 16S ribosomal RNA". It matches the Rfam family "Archaeal small subunit ribosomal RNA", at positions 323 to 746 of the family's 1478-position model. The record is from RNAcentral.
CUACGGGUGGCUGCAGUUAAGAAUAAUCUGCAAUGCGCGCAAGCGUGACAGUUUGAACCAAAGUGUUUUCCUUUUGGAAAACUUUUGUGGAAUGUAAAUAGUUUCACGAAUAAGGACUGGGUAAGACGAGUGCCAGCCGCCGCGGUAAUACUCGCGGUCCAAGUCGCAGCCAUUUUUAUUGGGUCUAAAACAUCCGUAGCUUGCUUAAUAAGUUCCUUGUGAAAUUUUAUGUCUCAAGCAUGAAACGCGCAGGGAGUACUGUUGAGCUAGAGACUGGGAGACGUAAGAAGUAUGUUCAAAGUAGCGGUAAAAUGUUUUAAUCUUGAGCAGACUACCAAUAGCGAAGGCAUCUUACGAGAACAGUUCUGACAGUAAGGGAUGAAGGCUAGGGGCGCAAAACGGAUUAGAUACCCUCGUAGUC